AAAACAUUAAGAGUGGCGUGAGGGUUCUGACCCGAUGACCGCCCGGCAACCUGGCGAAGCCGCCAAGGUGCCAAGGUCAGCCCGGAAACGGGGACGAUGUGGC
This 103-nucleotide non-coding RNA is filed under the name Candidatus Solibacter usitatus. RNAcentral's name for it is "Solibacter usitatus SAM-I sequence". It matches the Rfam family "SAM riboswitch aptamer (S box leader)". Rfam says of the family: The SAM riboswitch is found upstream of a number of genes which code for proteins involved in methionine or cysteine biosynthesis in Gram-positive bacteria. The SAM riboswitch acts at the level of transcription termination control. Lineage: Bacteria; Pseudomonadati; Acidobacteriota; Terriglobia; Bryobacterales; Solibacteraceae. The record is from RNAcentral.